RNAcentral lists this ribosomal RNA (639 nucleotides) under Staphylococcus aureus. Its description in RNAcentral is "bacterial SSU rRNA". It matches the Rfam family "Bacterial small subunit ribosomal RNA", at positions 202 to 831 of the family's 1533-position model. The record is from RNAcentral. Lineage: Bacteria; Bacillati; Bacillota; Bacilli; Caryophanales; Staphylococcaceae.
AAGACGGUCUUGCUGUCACUUAUAGAUGGAUCCGCGCUGCAUUAGCUAGUUGGUAAGGUAACGGCUUACCAAGGCAACGAUGCAUAGCCGACCUGAGAGGGUGAUCGGCCACACUGGAACUGAGACACGGUCCAGACUCCUACGGGAGGCAGCAGUAGGGAAUCUUCCGCAAUGGGCGAAAGCCUGACGGAGCAACGCCGCGUGAGUGAUGAAGGUCUUCGGAUCGUAAAACUCUGUUAUUAGGGAAGAACAUAUGUGUAAGUAACUGUGCACAUCUUGACGGUACCUAAUCAGAAAGCCACGGCUAACUACGUGCCAGCAGCCGCGGUAAUACGUAGGUGGCAAGCGUUAUCCGGAAUUAUUGGGCGUAAAGCGCGCGUAGGCGGUUUUUUAAGUCUGAUGUGAAAGCCCACGGCUCAACCGUGGAGGGUCAUUGGAAACUGGAAAACUUGAGUGCAGAAGAGGAAAGUGGAAUUCCAUGUGUAGCGGUGAAAUGCGCAGAGAUAUGGAGGAACACCAGUGGCGAAGGCGACUUUCUGGUCUGUAACUGACGCUGAUGUGCGAAAGCGUGGGGAUCAAACAGGAUUAGAUACCCUGGUAGUCCACGCCGUAAACGAUGAGUGCUAAGUGUUAGGGGGU